GACGAACGCUGGCGGCGUGCUUAACACAUGCAAGUCGAACGGGCCCGCUCUCUUUUUUGGGGGUGGGUUGAGUGGCGAACGGGUGAGUAUCACGUGAGUAACCUGCCCCCUGCUCCUGGAUAACUGCUUGAAAGGGCGGCUAAUACGGGGUGUGCCGGCUGGUCCGCAUGGGCCUGGUCGGGAUAGUUUCAUCUUCGGGUGUUUCGGUGGGGGAUGGGCUCGCGGCCUAUCAGCUUGUUGGUGGGGUGAUGGCCCACCAAGGCGGUGACGGGUAGCCGGCCUGGGAGGGUGGGCGGCCACACUGGGACUGAGACACGGCCCAGACUCCUGCGGGAGGCAGCAGUGGGGGGUAUUGCACAAUGGGCGGAAGCCUGAUGCAGCGACGUCGCGUGAGGGAUGGAGGCCUUCGGGUGGUGAACCUCUUUCUCCGGUGGUGAAGGCCCUGUCCGUUGCGGCGGGGUUGACGGUAGCCGGGUAUGAAGCGCCGGCUAACUACGUG
This 499-nucleotide ribosomal RNA is filed under the name uncultured bacterium. RNAcentral describes it as "partial 16S ribosomal RNA". It matches the Rfam family "Bacterial small subunit ribosomal RNA", at positions 28 to 507 of the family's 1533-position model. The record is from RNAcentral.